Molecule: ribosomal RNA, 254 nt
Filed under: uncultured bacterium
Lineage: Bacteria
Description: partial 16S ribosomal RNA
Rfam family: Bacterial small subunit ribosomal RNA
Source: RNAcentral
UACGGAGGGUGCAAGCGUUAUCCGGAUUCACUGGGUUUAAAGGGUGCGUAGGCGGGCAGGUAAGUCCGUGGUGAAAUCUCUGAGCUUAACUCCGAAACUGCAUUCGAUACUGCCGUGCUUGAGGACUGGAGAGGAGACUGGAAUUUACGGUGUAGCGGUGAAAUGCGUAGAUAUCGUAAGGAAGACCAGUGGCGAAGGCGGGUCUCUGGACAGUUCCUGACGCUGAGUGAGCGAAAGCCAGGGGAGCAAACGGG